AACAGUAGUGUACUGGUUGACGAUGAUAUGGGAAGGUAUUUCGGUGCUAAGGUUGUUAUGGUACGGACUAGAGGCAGCCAUUUGAUGCUUUGCAUGGCUUAUGAGCUUCGUGAGGUAAAAUUGGCGUAUGGAAUGGGAUGAGAAACAUCAAUAUCAACUUUACGUGAUGUUGCUGGAUUGCUGGUUUGCUGCCCACUUGGAAUUCACAUUGCUAGGUCUAGGGUUCCUUCUCCAACAAUGCCAAAAAAAGAAACUGAAACCUUGUCAGAAUUCGAUGCAUUCAAUAUCAGAAUCAGACCCCUUGACGUUGAAGAAAAGAAGUGAUCUUGCAAUUCAGUGGAUUGGUCCGACUCCAGAG
RNAcentral lists this unclassified non-coding RNA (358 nucleotides) under Hevea brasiliensis (rubber tree). The record is from RNAcentral. Lineage: Eukaryota; Viridiplantae; Streptophyta; Magnoliopsida; Malpighiales; Euphorbiaceae.